RNAcentral lists this long non-coding RNA (1164 nucleotides) under Salvator merianae (Argentine black and white tegu). Its description in RNAcentral is "lncRNA (ENSSMRG00000012045.1)". The record is from RNAcentral. Lineage: Eukaryota; Metazoa; Chordata; Lepidosauria; Squamata; Teiidae.
GGAGAUGCUAAGGGCUGUGUCUCCUGGUGGGGACUAUUUUGGCUUUAUAUGCUCUGUGCAGGAAUCUGAUAGAGGAGGACAGCACCAGGAUGAUGUGUGAAGCAGGUGAGAACGUGGAGGCACUGACUUGCUGAUGUGAAUCACUCUUGAACACUGUAAGAGAACUGGGAGCUCAGCAGCAGUGGACAAAAUGAAUGGAUAACGUUUGCAAGAUCAUGAUACUGUACACAAGAAGGCUGGACUUAACAUCAUAGUCACAGAGCCAUGAGGUUGCUUAGACGGAGCGCCAUGGAAACAGGGCCACGGACUGGGCAAGGCUACACUGCCCCCUGGAUGUACCAUGGUGUGGCUGGCCAGGACACGCUCCUGGAUAAGCAACUUGUUUCUGAUUUUUCUCCCAGCUGGCAUCGCCCCAGACCCCGUGUACUGCAGGAUUCAACCAACUGGCCCAAUCCUCACGUCUUUCCACCCCGCCGGGUCCCACUGAGGCACGAAGGCCAUUGGUUUCCGGGGAAGGAGUUCGGCAGGGCAGCCCCCUCUCCGAAAGCUCAAAGGCAGCCUAGUCCUGCCUAUGAGGGUCUAUAUCCCAUCAGCAGGAGGGAUUGGAUCUGCGGAGGCUUCCGCACAGAAAAAAGGGGUUCUGUAGGCCCAGCCGGUGGCUUUCCUGCAAAGUGCAGGUGGUAUCAAGGAACUCCGGCCCAGUGUGCGGUAGAUCUCCUUGCCCGAGCCCCUCCGAGCUACGAAGCCCAUAUGCUGUUGCGCCUCAGAACAGGGCGGGGCCCUCGCAAAGAAAACUGGCUAAGCCCACCGCCUUAUAUUGCUCCCCCUUCCUACGAAGCAUCGCACCGCACGGUCAAGCCUCAUCCGCCGCAGCUGCAGCACACAGGCAAGGAAGCCCUCUUGGCAAAAAAGCCAACCCGAGAGGCUCCCAAGAAAACCCAGAAUGCAGUAGAGGCGUCUGAGCUGGGGCCUUUGACUCACAGUCUUGGGAAAAAGGGUGCCACAGAAGAGCUCGUUUUGCUGCAUGACAUUGCUACAAUUUUCCCUCUGGAACCUUCCCUCAACUUGACAGCCUCCAGAUCUUGCUGUCCUGUAAGUCCCAUUACCUUGGACCACAGACCUCGCUGGCUGGCACUGAUGGAACCUAGAACAGAAAACAUCUAG